GUAGGGAAUCUUCCACAAUGGACGAAAGUCUGAUGGAGCAACGCCGCGUGAGUGAAGAAGGUUCUCGGAUCGUAAAACUCUGUUGUGAGGGAAGAACAAGUACCGGAGUAACUGCCGGUACCUUGACGGUACCUCAUUAGAAAGCCACGGCUAACUACGUGCCAGCAGCCGCGGUAAUACGUAGGUGGCAAGCGUUGUCCGGAAUCAUUGGGCGUAAAGCGCGCGCAGGCGGUCCCUUAAGUCUGAUGUGAAAGCCCACGGCUCAACCGUGGAGGGUCAUUGGGAACUGGGGGACUUGAGUGCAGAAGAGGAAAGCGGAAUUCCAAGUGUAGCGGUGAAAUGCGUAGAGAUUUGGAGGAACACCAGUGGCGAAGGCGGCUUUCUGGUCUGUAACUGACGCUGAGGCGCGAAAGCGUGGGGAGCAAACAGGAUUAGAAACCCGGGUAGUCC
RNAcentral lists this ribosomal RNA (450 nucleotides) under uncultured bacterium. Its description in RNAcentral is "partial 16S ribosomal RNA". It matches the Rfam family "Bacterial small subunit ribosomal RNA", at positions 354 to 796 of the family's 1533-position model. The record is from RNAcentral.